UCAAGACUCUCGAUUCUUCUAUACUCGCCAAUCAGGUGGCCGGCCACGAACACUAACGAAUCUUCUUGAAGGCUACACGUACAUGUAUGGCCGGCCAUACACAACGAUAUCUCCUCAUCUAUCACACUCGACUAUUACAAAGACCAGUCAUCUCAUUCAUAAUUAUCAGCUAUUAUGUUUUGAGGGGCCCCUCGUUAUUAUAUAGAGCUCUAUUAUUUCAAUAGUCACUCUAUUGUGUUGUGUUGGUGUUGGAGACUAUGGUGCCUGGAAUAGAGUGACUGAACUGAAAAUGGACGACAAAAAACGUUAAAACUGCAAAAUCAAGUGUCUAAGUCUACAAAAUAUCUUUAAGACAAGCUAUCUACUCAAGUCCCCAAGUCAAGUAUCUCCAGCCACUCGAAGAAACAACAUCCUCCUCCUUAAGGACGAGGACACUGGAGGAACAUGCAAGGACUCAUACUGGCACUCCUCACCUGCAUGGAUAGGAGGCUGGAAUGGCAGUUGUAUUUUACUGAGCAUUACAAUUAUGUAGUUACUGAGCAUUAUAAUGACGUUCAUUAUACUGAGCAUUGUGUCCAAUUAGCAUGCUAUAAUGAUGUGUCCUGACCUCUGACCCCAAUCACCUCUUGUCACAAUACAUGUUCUGAGCCGGCCGGAGACCACUAAUGGAACUCUAAUAGAGGAAGCGUCCAGUCUAUACAACGCACUGCUACUACUCAAGUACAAGUCUGCACGAUAUGGAUCAUAUCUCUACGUACUGGCAGAAUUAACAAACUUCCCCAUCCUUAAAGACGAACUACUGUUGGAAUUCCAAGCAAGCAAUGCAGAGCUGAUUAAUUUUAACUCGAAAAAACACACUAUUAGACAUGUACUGAGACUGAGACUGACUCCUUUAGUAUUGAGUCCCACUCCCCCCCAUGCAUGUGUCCCCAUGCAUGCCUCUCUGCCAUGCUCACCAGAUUACAGGAAACAGCAAGCCUAUCUACUAUACUCCUACUGCUAUACUCAAGUCAAGUCUCUAUAUCACUGGAAGGAUUUCAAUACAAACAACGUCCUCCUCCUUAAGGACGAGGACAGUGGACGGACAGCGACUGAUACUGGCACUCCUCACCUGGGUUGUACUGCAAGGGUGGAGUUAUAUCCAGCAUUAUAAUAAUAGGCAUCAUUAUUAUUACUGCAUGAGCAUUACAUUACAUGCUGUGUCCUAACCUCUGCCCUAACAAUGUUAUUAUCAC
Long non-coding RNA from Halichondria panicea, 1235 nucleotides. RefSeq lists it as uncharacterized. The record is from RefSeq and is a predicted model, not a curated record. Lineage: Eukaryota; Metazoa; Porifera; Demospongiae; Suberitida; Halichondriidae. The transcript has 5 exons.